GCGGGAAUAGCUCAGUUGGUAGAGCAUCACGUUGCCAACGUGAAUGUCGCGAGUUCGAAUCUCGUUUCCCGCUCCA
This 76-nucleotide transfer RNA is filed under the name Gammaproteobacteria bacterium. Its description in RNAcentral is "tRNA-Gly". It matches the Rfam family "tRNA". From Rfam's summary of the family: Transfer RNA (tRNA) molecules are approximately 80 nucleotides in length. Their secondary structure includes four short double-helical elements and three loops (D, anti-codon, and T loops). RNAcentral also lists the same sequence under 2 other names. Lineage: Bacteria; Pseudomonadati; Pseudomonadota; Gammaproteobacteria. The record is from RNAcentral.